UARAGUYUGAUCCUGGCUCAKAACRAAYGCUGGCGGCGUGCUUAACACAUGCAAGUCGGACGUGAUUCAGAGCUUGCUCUGAUGAAAGUGGCGCACGGGUGAGUAACGCGUGGAUAACCUGCCCUGGUAUCCGGAAUAACAUCUCGAARGGGGUGCUAAUACCGGAUAAGCCCACGGGAUCCUCGGAUUCUGCGGGAAAAGGUGGCCUCUAUUUAUAAGCUACCGUAUCAGGAUGGGUCCGCGUACCAUUAGCUAGUUGGUGGGGUAAUGGCCUACCAAGGCGACGAUGGUUAGCUGGUCUGAGAGGAUGAUCASCCACACUGGAACUGARACACGGUCCAGGCUCCUACGGGAGGCAGCAGUGGGGAAUUUUGCGCAAUGGGGGAAACCCUGACGCASC
Molecule: ribosomal RNA, 400 nt
Filed under: uncultured Geobacteraceae bacterium
Lineage: Bacteria; Pseudomonadati; Thermodesulfobacteriota; Desulfuromonadia; Geobacterales; Geobacteraceae
Description: partial 16S ribosomal RNA
Rfam family: Bacterial small subunit ribosomal RNA
Source: RNAcentral